This is a long non-coding RNA of Oncorhynchus kisutch (coho salmon), 2725 nucleotides long. RefSeq lists it as uncharacterized. NCBI's taxonomy places the organism in Eukaryota, Metazoa, Chordata, Actinopteri, Salmoniformes, Salmonidae. The transcript has 4 exons. The record is from RefSeq and is a predicted model, not a curated record.
GCAGGGAGCUCGGCCACAAUGUUGUACUGGGCUGUAUGCACUACCCUAUGUAAUGCCCUGCAGUUGGAUGCCAAGCAGUCAAUUGUGGUUGCGAUUGAUAUCUCUAUAUAUUUCGUUUUCAUCAUUUUGUAAGUAACUCCCCAAAACUCAUUCAUAAAACGUUUUAAUUUCCAAAUGUACUACACUCUAAAAAUGAGGGAUUCAACUGGAGUUCUUCUAAGAUCCUUAAAGGUCCCCGAAGAACAUUAGGGUUCUUGACAAUGAAUAACAACCCCAAAAGGCUAUUCAAAGAACUUCUUAGGUGGUGGGGUUCAUCGAGGAACCCCCAUUGUUGCUGGAGGUCUUCAGGGAACUGAAAACGCUCAUGCCAAGUUUGAAUGCGACAACAGUUCGGUUGAUGUUUGGCUCUGAAUAUGUAUUGAAAUAAUGUAUAUAAUAAUAUAAAAUACUAAUGAAUAACGAAGAAAAUUAUGGUCUUCUGUGAAUAGCUUCCAUAACGUUACUAUAGCUAUAGUUCAGAAGAAUUAACGUAAAUAUUAGAAAACCGGGUUUGACCGUUGGCAUUGUAUGAGCUACAGUACAGUAACUUUAGCUAGCUAGCUAAUGUUAUGUCCUAACUAGGCAGAACUAGAUUUGUAUUAUUUCCUGAAGUAUAUUCUCUCCCAUAUAUUGUAUAUCGUUUCCAUGAAGCCAACAUGGCUUUACACUCUUUAAAGUAAGUUUCCAAUCUAGAGCAGUUCUCACUUUUGUGAGAAUUAACUAGUUAACGUUAGCUUCGUUGACGUUAGCUAGCUAGCUAACCAACUAACUAAGGAUGGUGACAUGUCCAGACAAGAUGUUACAACGAACUGAAUCGUCAAUGGAGGUCUUCCUCUUUAUAUAGCCUGGUACAGCAUUCAAUACUAUUAACUCACAAGGAGGCAUAACAUUUAAUGUACAAUACUAUCCCAUUUUGGAAACAUUACAUGUAUGCCCCCUUGUGAAGAGAAAAUGAAUAGCUUAGGUGGUAGCUGUAGUUGGGAUUCAAAUGUAUAAUGGUAUUAAUACAGUGCCUAGACUACCUCUUUUGUAUAUAUGCAUGCCCUUCUGAAUCCAAACACAGUAUUGCCACGCAGCAAAAUGUUGCGUAUAAUCUUUCAAGUCAGCCUGAUAAAAUACUGAAGAAUUUGUGUACAAAGAUAGCUUGAAAUUUGACAUUAGACCUGUAUGGCAGUAGUUAUACUGUAUGGCAGUGCUGUAUUAGCAAGUGCUUUCUCCAAUAUGUUCUUCUAUUUUGCAUUCAAUUAUAUGUCGAUGCAAUUUAUCUUUCAAUAUUUAUUUAAUAUAUAUAUAUAUAUUUUUUUUUAUGCUUGUAAGACUAUUCUUUGACACAUUUUCUCUUCCUUUGAAAUUAUUAUAGGAAAGAACAUGGACACAAUGCAUUUGGGAUCAAGAAGAAGAUCUUCGCAGAAAUUAAUCAAGUCCAUGUAAUGGAUAUAGACAAAAAGAUAAUUCAAGGACUAUCAGAGGUAGAGACGAGGCAGGGGUGAGGACAUCAUCCUUGCUAUUUUGACAGUCCCUGUAGGACAAUACAGAAGAGGACUCGAGACCACAGCAGCGAUCCUGCUCUUGCCCUACUUCUUCAAAGAGGACCAGAGUGGCCUUUGCACAAAUGAUCUGUUUCUUCAUAAACAUAGGUUUCACCGCUCUUCACUCCUUUACUGCACAUUGGCGGAAAUCCAUUUCACCAUGAGAGUGAAAUCCCGCUGGCCUUUGAUGGGGAGAACAUCCACGCCCUAGAGGACAUCCCCAUGGGACUUGGGGCUCUGUUAGGGCUGUAUUUUUUAUUUUCCCUUAAAAUUCCCCAAAAUGUCAGAAAAAUACUUAUGUUCUUAAGUUACUGUGUUAAGACAAUUUGUGGUGAAGUUACCAGGGCCGGUCAUAAAGAUGACAAACUUCCUAACAUAACUAACUGGUUGUUGGGCAAGUGGUUGUUAGACACACACACACACACACACACACACACACACACACACACUAAAGCUAAAAAAUCUGUAUUUAGCAAGUCUACAACCAUAAUAAAUAAUACAUUAACUUUGUAUAGUGCUUUUCAUUACAUUUCAAAUGUUUUUUAAUAAUGAUGUACAAUAAAAACAACAUACAUUAAAAAUGAGUCAUAGGUAAACUAACAACUAGUAAACUAGCAAUUUUGUAGUGUGUUUUCUUUGGUAAAUUGUUUUGUAAAUAUUAUUUCACAUUUGUGGUGCCACUAAAUAAACAAUUAAUUAUUUAAUAUUGUUAUUAUUUUUAAAAUAUGCAGAUGCAGAUGAAUUAGCUACCUGACCCAUGAAAAAAGUCACAGCGGGGCUGAUGGAAACAGGAUGUGCCGAUAGAAUUGUAAAAAUACCGACAGACAAUUUGUUCGUUCGACAUGGUGGGAUCUUUUUGUGUCGGCAAAAGUAAUUAUGCGUGAAAUUGCGGUGGAAACGGAUUUAUGCGCAAAUAUUGAUACAGUAUAAUAGGCUAUACCUAUCACGCGAUUAUAUGUUGUUUGGUCCUCCCUCUACGACUCCGGAAACUAUGCAGUUUAUUAGGUUACAGAUGAAAUAAAUGAUGAACUUUACAGUGUGGUAAAAGUGCACGUGAUGAGCUUGAUGCUCCUUUCCAAUAAAUAUCAAGGGUCUUAUUCUGGUGACAUGUUAAUGGUUGUGACUGCCGUUUGACAAAUAAAAAUAAUAUGCUCUUA